AGUUCAUAUUAAGAAAUUAUUAGCAUGUCGUGUUUCCAACUUUCAUUUUAUUGGAGAUAUUAUUUUUUACGCUCAUUGUCCCCGAACUAUCCAUUUAUGCCCUCAUCAACUCUCAUCAUACAAAUCCAUGGACAGCUAAUCUCUCCAGUGUGGAAUGUAUGCUAUGGACAGGACUACCUUCAGGUAAAAUCUAUUGUAUUUUGGUUUAAUCAUAGUCUAUCUCCUUUUAUUAGUAGAUAGUUAUAGUCGUCUUGAAUAGUAUGCUUUACAGUUGCGCUUCGUGCGAUCUUCUGUAACAGAAAACGAGGU
This is a long non-coding RNA of Magnolia sinica, 309 nucleotides long. RefSeq lists it as uncharacterized. The record is from RefSeq and is a predicted model, not a curated record. NCBI's taxonomy places the organism in Eukaryota, Viridiplantae, Streptophyta, Magnoliopsida, Magnoliales, Magnoliaceae. The transcript is spliced from 2 exons.